CCAAUAGCGUAUCUUAAAGUUGUUGCAGUUAAAAAGCUCGUAGUUGAAUUUCGGGGUUAGUAGAUUGGUCGUGCCACUGGUAUGCACUGGUCUUACUGAUUCCUCCUUCCUGAUGAACCGUAAUGCCAUUAAUUUGGUGUUGCGGGGAGACUGGACUGUUACUUUGAAAAAAUUAGAGUGUUUAAAGCAGGCUAACGCUUGAAUACAUUAGCAUGGAAUAAUGAAAUAGGACGUUCGAUCCUAUUUUGUUGGUUUCUAGGAUUGACGUAAUGAUUAAUAGGGAUAGUUGGGGGCAUUAGUAUUCAAUUGUCAGAGGUGAAAUUCUUGGAUUUAUUGAAGACUAACUACUGCGAAAGCAUUUGCCAAGGAUGUUUUCAUUAAUCAAGAACGAAAGUUAGGGGAUCGAAGACGAUCAGAUACCGUCGUAGUCUUAACCAUAAACUAUGCCGACUAGGGAUCGGAUGAUGUUAAUUUUUUAAUGACUCAUUCGGCGCCUUACG
RNAcentral lists this ribosomal RNA (500 nucleotides) under uncultured Glomeromycotina. RNAcentral's name for it is "partial small subunit ribosomal RNA". It matches the Rfam family "Eukaryotic small subunit ribosomal RNA", at positions 591 to 1092 of the family's 1831-position model. Lineage: Eukaryota; Fungi; Glomeromycota. The record is from RNAcentral.